This 19-nucleotide transfer RNA is filed under the name Hymenasplenium apogamum. RNAcentral's name for it is "partial tRNA-Phe". RNAcentral also lists the same sequence under 1 other name. Lineage: Eukaryota; Viridiplantae; Streptophyta; Polypodiopsida; Polypodiales; Aspleniaceae. The record is from RNAcentral.
GGCCGAGAUAGCUCAGUCG